This 252-nucleotide ribosomal RNA is filed under the name uncultured bacterium. Its description in RNAcentral is "partial 16S ribosomal RNA". It matches the Rfam family "Bacterial small subunit ribosomal RNA", at positions 524 to 776 of the family's 1533-position model. The record is from RNAcentral.
UACGAAGGUCCCAAGCGUUGUCGGAAUCACUGGGCGUAAAGGGAGCGUAGGCGGCGUGGUAAGUCAGAUGUGAAAUCCCGGGGCUCAACCCCGGAACUGCAUCCGAUACUGCCAUGCUAGAGGAUUGGAGAGGUAGCUGGAAUUCUUGGUGUAGCAGUGAAAUGCGUAGAGAUCAAGAGGAACACUCGUGGCGAAAGCGAGCUACUGGACAAUUCCUGACGCUGAGGCUCGAAGGCUAGGGUAGCGAAAGGG